GCCGCGGUAAGACGUAGGGCGCGAGCGUUGUCCGGAUUUAUUGGGCGUAAAGAGCUCGUAGGCGGCUUGUCGCGUCGUCUGUGAAAUCCCGCGGCUCAACUGCGGGUCUGCAGGCGAUACGGGCAGGCUAGAGUUCGGUAGGGGAGACUGGAAUUCCUGGUGUAGCGGUGAAAUGCGCAGAUAUCAGGAGGAACACCGGUGGCGAAGGCGGGUCUCUGGGCCGAUACUGACGCUGAGGAGCGAAAGCGUGGGGAGCGAACAGGAUUAGAUACCCUGGUAGUCCACGCUGUAAACGUUGGGCGCUAGGUGUGGGGGACCUCUCCGGUUCUCUGUGCCGCAGCUAACGCAUUAAGCGCCCCGCCUGGGGAGUACGGCCGCAAGGCUAAAACUCAAAGGAAUUGACGGGGGCCCGCACAAGCGGCGGAGCAUGCGGAUUAACUCGAUGCAACGCGAAGAACCUUACCUGGGUU
Molecule: ribosomal RNA, 470 nt
Filed under: uncultured actinomycete
Lineage: Bacteria; Bacillati; Actinomycetota; Actinomycetes; Actinomycetales
Description: bacterial SSU rRNA
Rfam family: Bacterial small subunit ribosomal RNA
Source: RNAcentral